GGGGCCGUAGUUCAGCCUGGUUAGAAUGCUAAAAGCAUGACCAGAAUGCGCGGCUUGGGACCGCGAGGUCCCAGGUUCAAAUCCUGGCGGCCCCA
RNAcentral lists this transfer RNA (95 nucleotides) under Thermoproteota archaeon. RNAcentral describes it as "Crenarchaeota archaeon (hot springs metagenome) tRNA-Pro". It matches the Rfam family "tRNA". Rfam says of the family: Transfer RNA (tRNA) molecules are approximately 80 nucleotides in length. The record is from RNAcentral. Lineage: Archaea; Thermoproteati; Thermoproteota.